This 539-nucleotide ribosomal RNA is filed under the name uncultured bacterium. Its description in RNAcentral is "bacterial SSU rRNA". It matches the Rfam family "Bacterial small subunit ribosomal RNA", at positions 356 to 896 of the family's 1533-position model. The record is from RNAcentral.
GAGGAAUAUUGGUCAAUGGGCGUAAGCCUGAACCAGCCAAGUAGCGUGCAGGAUGACGGCCCUAUGGGUUGUAAACUGCUUUUAUGCGGGGAUAAAAGAGCCCACGUGUGGGUUUUUGCAGGUACCGCAUGAAUAAGGACCGGCUAAUUCCGUGCCAGCAGCCGCGGUAAUACGGAAGGUCCAGGCGUUAUCCGGAUUUAUUGGGUUUAAAGGGAGCGUAGGCCGCCACUUAAGCGUGUUGUGAAAUGCGGGUGCUCAACAUCCGACUUGCAGCGCGAACUGGGGGGCUUGAGUGCGCCGAAAGUAGGCGGAAUUCGUGGUGUAGCGGUGAAAUGCUUAGAUAUCACGAAGAACUCCGAUUGCGAAGGCAGCUUACUGUAGCGCAACUGACGCUGAUGCUCGAAAGCGUGGGUAUCGAACAGGAUUAGAUACCCUGGUAGUCCACGCGGUAAACGAUGGAUGCUCGUUGUUGGCCCUUAUGGUCAGUGACCAAGCGAAAGCGUUAAGCAUCCCACCUGGGGAGUACGCCGGCAACGGUG